UUUGUACACACCGCCCGUCGCUACUACCGAUUGAACGGCUCAGUGAGGCCUUCGGACUGGCCCAGGGAGGUGGGCAACUACCACCCAGGUGCCGGAAAGUUGUACGAACUCGGUCGUUUAGAGGAAGUAAAAGUCGUAACAAGGUCUCCGUUGGUGAACCAGCGGAGGGAUCAUUACAGAGUUGAAAAACUCCAACCCCUGUGAACCUACCUUUGCUGUUGCUUCGGCGGAAGAUGGCCCCCCGGGCCGGGCGCCGCCGGAGGUCACAAACCCUGAAUUUUUAGUGUAUCUCUGAGUACAAAACCAAAUAAUUAAAACUUUCAACAACGGAUCUCUUGGUUCUGGCAUCGAUGAAGAACGCAGCGAAAUGCGAUAAGUAAUGUGAAUUGCAGAAUUCAGUGAAUCAUCGAAUCUUUGAACGCACAUUGCGCCCGCCGGUAUUCCGGCGGGCAUGCCUGUCCGAGCGUCAUUUCACCACUCAAGCCCAGCUUGGUGUUGGGGCACCCGGCCGCCUGGCGGUCGGGGCCCCCAAGAACAUCGGCGGUCUCGCCAGGACCCUGAACGCAGUAACUCGCGGUAAAACGCGCUUCGUUCGGAGGCUUCCCGGCGGGCUCCAGCCGCUAAACCCCCUAAACUUCUUAGGUUGACCUCGGAUCAGGUAGGAAUACCCGCUGAACUUAAGCAUAUCAAUAAGCGGAGGAAAAGAAACCAACAGGGAUUGCCCUAGUAACGGCGAGUGAAGCG
Molecule: ribosomal RNA, 744 nt
Filed under: Gaeumannomyces oryzinus
Lineage: Eukaryota; Fungi; Ascomycota; Sordariomycetes; Magnaporthales; Magnaporthaceae
Description: eukaryotic LSU rRNA
Rfam family: 5.8S ribosomal RNA (bases 316-469)
Source: RNAcentral